UACGUAGGGUGCGAGCGUUGUCCGGAAUUAUUGGGCGUAAAGGGCUCGUAGGCGGUUUGUCGCGUCGGGAGUGAAAUCCACUGGCUUAACUGGUGGCUUGCUUUCGAUACGGGCAGACUGGAGGUAUGCAGGGGAGAACGGAAUUCCUGGUGUAGCGGUGAAAUGCGCAGAUAUCAGGAGGAACACCAGUGGCGAAGGCGGUGCUCUGGGCCGGUACUGACGCUGAGGAGCGAAAGCGUGGGGAGCAAACAGG
This 253-nucleotide ribosomal RNA is filed under the name uncultured bacterium. RNAcentral describes it as "partial 16S ribosomal RNA". It matches the Rfam family "Bacterial small subunit ribosomal RNA", at positions 524 to 776 of the family's 1533-position model. The record is from RNAcentral.